GACGAACGCUGGCGGCGUGCUUAACACAUGCAAGUCGAACGGAAAGGCCCUGCUUUUGUGGGGUGCUCGAGUGGCGAACGGGUGAGUAACACGUGAGUAACCUGCCCUUGACUUUGGGAUAACUUCAGGAAACUGGGGCUAAUACCGGAUAGGAGCUCCUGCUGCAUGGUGGGGGUUGGAAAGUUUCGGCGGUUGGGGAUGGACUCGCGGCUUAUCAGCUUGUUGGUGGGGUAGUGGCUUACCAAGGCUUUGACGGGUAGCCGGCCUGAGAGGGUGACCGGCCACAUUGGGACUGAGAUACGGCCCAGACGCCUACGGGAGGCAGCAGUGGGGAAUAUUGCACAAUGGGCGGAAGCCUGAUGCAGCAACGCCGCGUGCGGGAUGACGGCCUUCGGGUUGUAAACCGCUUUCGCCUGUGACGAAGCGUGAGUGACGGGAAUGGGGAAAGAAGCACCGGCUAACUACGU
This 467-nucleotide ribosomal RNA is filed under the name uncultured bacterium. RNAcentral describes it as "partial 16S ribosomal RNA". It matches the Rfam family "Bacterial small subunit ribosomal RNA", at positions 28 to 506 of the family's 1533-position model. The record is from RNAcentral.